This is a long non-coding RNA of Manis pentadactyla (Chinese pangolin), 488 nucleotides long. RefSeq lists it as uncharacterized. NCBI's taxonomy places the organism in Eukaryota, Metazoa, Chordata, Mammalia, Pholidota, Manidae. The record is from RefSeq and is a predicted model, not a curated record. The transcript has 3 exons.
UAUUAAGUUGCAAAAUUAGUCCUCCGGAAAUAUUUGGGCACUUUUUGCCUUUCCUAGAGACAGAGGGAUGAGUUAAUGUAGCUCUCCGGUGUGGCUUGCAAUGUCCAGAUCAUGUGAUCAUGGGCGCUGGACCCAGUUUCAGCGGUUAACGGGCACAGUGGAAACCCAAGGAGAAAGCGGACUGGGGAAUUGCUGCAUGAGUCAAGGUGUGUUGUCAUUUUGAGCAGAACAGGGGAGAAGAGAGUUGUCACAGUGUGGAGGCGGUGGAGGGAAGGAGUUAAAGGGCCUUUACGAUGUGGACAUCAAAGCGCUCCUGUGACAAAGAACUUCAAGGCAGGCACCCAGACCCAGAGGCAAAUAGUAUAUAAUUAAAAGGAGAACAACUGGGUUCUGACUUAGUCAAGAUAAACAGACCGUAAUUUCCUAGCUGUAGAGUUCCUUAAUGAACACUAGCAAGACACUCAUGGUCAGGACCAGACUGACCACAA